GUAGGGAAUAUUGCGCAAUGGACGAAAGUCUGACGCAGCGACGCCGCGUGAGUGAUGAAGGCCUUAGGGUCGUAAAGCUCUGUUGAAUGGGAAGAAAAAAAUGACGGUACCAUUCGAGGAAGGACCGGCUAACUUCGUGCCAGCAGCCGCGGUAAUACGAGGGGUCCUAGCGUUGUUCGGAAUCAUUGGGCGUAAAGGGUGUGUAGGUGGCCAUGUAAGUCAGGUGUGAAAGCCCCGGGCUCAACCCGGGAAGUGCACUUGAUACUGCGUGGCUUGAGUACCGAAGAGGGUAGUGGAAUUCCAGGUGUAGUGGUGAAAUACGUAGAUAUCUGGAGGAACACCGGUGGCGAAGGCGGCUACCUGGUCGAGUACUGACACUGAGACACGAAAGCAUGGGGAUCAAACAGGAUUAGAAACCCCGGUAGUCC
This 428-nucleotide ribosomal RNA is filed under the name uncultured bacterium. Its description in RNAcentral is "bacterial SSU rRNA". It matches the Rfam family "Bacterial small subunit ribosomal RNA", at positions 354 to 796 of the family's 1533-position model. The record is from RNAcentral.